Pollicipes pollicipes is the source of this 174-nucleotide long non-coding RNA. RefSeq lists it as uncharacterized. Lineage: Eukaryota; Metazoa; Arthropoda; Thecostraca; Pollicipedomorpha; Pollicipedidae. The record is from RefSeq and is a predicted model, not a curated record. The transcript has 2 exons.
AUGAGCUCACCCACACCAACAAACACAUCUGGUUCCCACACAAGGGAAUCAAGUACAGGAAGAAGAAUCCACCCAGGGACAGAGACUUCAUGUGAAGCCUGAAGCCUGUACGCUACCCCCGGUUCCUGUCUCAGUAGUCACUCGCUAGCAUUCAAUACACAGAAAUGUACUCAG